Molecule: long non-coding RNA, 753 nt
Organism: Belonocnema kinseyi
Lineage: Eukaryota; Metazoa; Arthropoda; Insecta; Hymenoptera; Cynipidae
Exons: 3
Source: RefSeq, a predicted model, not a curated record
GGCCCUUUGGAAGAGCCGUUGAUCUCUAGAAUUCUUCUACUCUGUCAGAAUUAACUUGGAACAUUGUACUCUGACUUCGAGAAACUCAAGUAUUCAUACUGCAUCUGCAUCUGUUAUUCAUCACUCCAGAAGUUUUCUACAAUAAAUCUGUGCGUUGAAGCCACACAUCCUUUGAAAAUGCAAAUUUAAUUGAACGUCUUCCAUUUAAACAACAUUCAUCGUUUUCGGAAUCCGAAAAACUAAAGUCGAACGACUUUAGACUAGUAGAAAAUUACAAUAGUGAUGAAGAUGGAGCAGAAAACGAUAUUUAUGUUUCAGAAGUAUUUGGACUAUUAAGUGGUUAUUCUAACCAAGAAGACGACGAAGUUAAUGAGCUUAUGACCGAAACUCAGAAUCAGUCUUAUCAUCCGGAAACACGGAAAUUUUGUCAAAUUUGAAUGAUAACAUGCUAGACUAUAAUAAAAACACUGCAGGAAUAAGGCGGUGGAUCUAUUACCUGAGAGAGGAAUUUAUAUUCACAGAACCUUUCUGAAAGAAGCUAAGCUAACUUCCUCGCAGCAAGCGCCUUUUGCUAGAAAGUUGUUGUGUGCCAUAUUUAAGAAAGAGGCAAUACAAAUAUGUUCUCUUACUGGAAAAGGGAGAAAAUUAGAAGAUAAAAAACCUCGUCUAAAUAAGAAAGCUGUGGCUCUAAUAUUAUGUAAGAUUUCGUUGUUCAUAUUGUAGAUUAUUAACUUACCUAAAGGACUUGUUUAA